GCGCCGCUCCUUGUCCCCACCCCCACCUUCAAAUAUGGGUGGUGCAUUGGUGGGUCCCUACUUGUCCACCGUAGUUUUCGGUGGUGGCCCCUCCAAUCAAUCAAUCAUUUUUUUUUUAAAAAAAAAAAAAAAGGAAAAACAAAACAAAGCAAGCACUUUGCUUAUCUUCUUCCUGUGAAAAAGAAAAUGGAACCUACAAAUUAUAAAUCCUUCUAAACCUCAAGUAAUAAGAGCAACUACUACUCGCGAGACAAAAAGCCUUGCAAUAGCAUCAUUCUCCAUAUUUCACCAUCAAUGUCACAGUUAUUCUUCUUCUUCUUCUAACGUUCUUUCAGAGAGAACCAUUUCUUGAAGUUCUUUUCUUUUUCUUUUUCUUGAUUUACCGUCACCGCAAUGUUACAACUGUCCGUUUUCAGAAUUCGGGUCUCGGCUACAUCAUCAUUCCCGCCACUGCGAAAACGUCAGGUCGCCUAGAGUUUUCAAUAAAACCCGAAAGGUGUGUCUGGUCUCUUUGAUUUGCGUGAAUUGUGAUGGGACAUGUUUGACAUUGAAAACGUUGUAAUAGCCAUUUGUUGGACUAUUUUCAUUUAAAUCACGUAAAGUUUGAAGAACCUAUUAUAAAAUUAAUGAUUUAAUAUUAUACAUGUGAUUGAUUAGUAGUACGUCUAUAAUAUAAUAAUUAAAAAUGAUAAUUUUUUUUGAGCUGGUUGUAUGGUAAUGUCAUGCAUUGGGUAUAGAAUAUAUUUCAAUAUAAAUAUUUUAUUUUCAUGUAGAUUAUAAAAUGCUAAAUUGACUUUUUAAUGUCUCAUUUUUAAUUAUUACUUUCUCAUUUUUUUAUAAUUGCUUAAUUUUUUAAUCAAUGUCUACUUAUGCCAAUUAGGC
RNAcentral lists this long non-coding RNA (882 nucleotides) under Jatropha curcas. Its description in RNAcentral is "long non-coding RNA (JCUR_LNC000997)". The record is from RNAcentral. Lineage: Eukaryota; Viridiplantae; Streptophyta; Magnoliopsida; Malpighiales; Euphorbiaceae.